UAGGUAGUUUCAUGUUGUUGGGGCUCGAGUCUAACUCUACAACACGAAACUGCUCGAA
RNAcentral lists this microRNA precursor (58 nucleotides) under Callorhinchus milii (elephant shark). RNAcentral describes it as "Cmi-Mir-196-P1_pre stem-loop". The record is from RNAcentral. Lineage: Eukaryota; Metazoa; Chordata; Chondrichthyes; Chimaeriformes; Callorhinchidae.